UGACCGCUGGCGGUAGGCCUAACACAUGCACGUCGACCGGCAGCACAGUAAGAGCUUGCUCUUACGGGUGGCGAGUGGCGGACGGGUGAGGGGUACAUCGGAAUCUACUUUUUCGUGGGGGAUAACGUAGGGAAACUUACGCUAAUACCGCAUACGACCUACGGGUGAAAGCAGGGGAUCUUCGGACCUUGCGCGAUUGAAUGAGCCGAUGUCGGAUUAGCUAGUUGGCGGGGUAAAGGCCCACCAAGGCGACGAUCCGUAGCUGGUCUGAGAGGAUGGUCAGCCACACUGGAACUGAGACACGGUCCAGACUCCUACGGGAGGCAGCAGUGGGGAAUAUUGGACAAUGGGCGCAAGCCUGAUCCAGCCAUACCGCGUGGGUGAAGAAGGCCUUCGGGUUGUAAAGCCCUUUUGUUGGGAAAGAAAAGCAGCAGGUUAAUACCCCGCUGUUCUGACGGUACCCAAAGAAUAAGCACCGGCUAACUUCGUG
RNAcentral lists this ribosomal RNA (490 nucleotides) under uncultured bacterium. RNAcentral describes it as "partial 16S ribosomal RNA". It matches the Rfam family "Bacterial small subunit ribosomal RNA", at positions 30 to 507 of the family's 1533-position model. The record is from RNAcentral.